RNAcentral lists this ribosomal RNA (367 nucleotides) under uncultured archaeon. RNAcentral's name for it is "bacterial SSU rRNA". It matches the Rfam family "Archaeal small subunit ribosomal RNA", at positions 9 to 381 of the family's 1478-position model. The record is from RNAcentral.
GAAUCCUGCCGGAGGUCACUGCUAUCCAAAUUCGACUANAGCCAUGCAAGUCUAACAGAAAUGUUGGCGCAAAGCUCAAUAACACGUAGAUAAUCUGCCCUUAGGAGGAGGAUACCCUCGGGAAACUGAGCUCAAUACUCCAUAGACGUUAUAUGCUGGAAUGCUUUAACGUCCAAAGCUUCGGUGCCUAAGGAUGAGUUCUGCGGCUGAUCAGGUUGUUGGUAAGCUAAAGCCUUAUCAAGCCUAUAAUCAGUACGGGCCUUGAGAGAGGAAGCCCGGAGAUGGACUCUGAUACAACAGUCCAGGUCCUACGGGACGCAGCAGGCGCGAAACUUUCGCAAUGCACGCAAGUGUGACGAAGGAAAAA